CCUACGGGGGGCAGCAGUGGGGAAUAUUGGACAAUGGGCGAAAGCCUGAUCCAGCCAUGCCGCGUGUGUGAAGAAGGCCUUCGGGUUGUAAAGCACUUUCAGUGGGGAAGAAAGCCUUGGGGCUAAUACCCUCGAGGAAGGACAUCACCCACAGAAGAAGCACCGGCUAACUCCGUGCCAGCAGCCGCGGUAAUACGGAGGGUGCGAGCGUUAAUCGGAAUUACUGGGCGUAAAGCGCGCGUAGGCGGUCUGAUAAGCCGGUUGUGAAAGCCCCGGGCUCAACCUGGGAACGGCAUCCGGAACUGUCAGGCUAGAGUGCAGGAGAGGAAGGUAGAAUUCCCGGUGUAGCGGUGAAAUGCGUAGAGAUCGGGAGGAAUACCAGUGGCGAAGGCGGCCUUCUGGACUGACACUGACGCUGAGGUGCGAAAGCGUGGGUAGCAAACAGGAUUAGAUACCCGGUAGUC
RNAcentral lists this ribosomal RNA (464 nucleotides) under Vreelandella stevensii. RNAcentral describes it as "partial 16S ribosomal RNA". It matches the Rfam family "Bacterial small subunit ribosomal RNA", at positions 338 to 795 of the family's 1533-position model. The record is from RNAcentral. Lineage: Bacteria; Pseudomonadati; Pseudomonadota; Gammaproteobacteria; Oceanospirillales; Halomonadaceae.